This 254-nucleotide ribosomal RNA is filed under the name uncultured bacterium. RNAcentral describes it as "partial 16S ribosomal RNA". It matches the Rfam family "Bacterial small subunit ribosomal RNA", at positions 524 to 776 of the family's 1533-position model. The record is from RNAcentral.
GACGUAGGGCGCGAGCGUUGUCCGGAUUUAUUGGGCGUAAAGAGCUCGUAGGCGGCUUGUCGCGUCGACUGUGAAAACCCGCGGCUCAACCGUGUGGCGGGCAGUUGAUACGGGCAGGCUAGAGUCCGGAAGAGGAGAGUGGAAUUCCUGGUGUAGCGGUGGAAUGCGCAGAUAUCAGGAGGAACACCGAUGGCGAAGGCAGCUCGCUGGGACGGUACUGACGCUGAGGCGCGAAAGCGUGGGGAGCGAACAGG